RNAcentral lists this ribosomal RNA (293 nucleotides) under uncultured eukaryote. Its description in RNAcentral is "partial 18S ribosomal RNA". It matches the Rfam family "Eukaryotic small subunit ribosomal RNA", at positions 6 to 317 of the family's 1831-position model. The record is from RNAcentral.
GGUUGAUCCUGCCAGCAAUCAUAUGCUUGUCUCAAAGAUUAAGCCAUGCAUGUCUAAGUAUAAGUUUUUAUACAACGAAACUGCGGAAAGCUCAUUAUAUCAGUUUUAAUCUAUUUGUUCAUUUUCUAUUGGAUAACUGUAGGAAUUCUAGAGCUAAUACAUGUAUCAAAUCCGGCUAAAUUAAACUUAAAAGGACGUCUUUAUCUACUUGAAACCAAUUUGAAGUGAAUUCAGUAAACAAACAAAUCGCAAUCACAAGAUUGUGAUAAUACAAACGAGUUUCUGCCCUAUCA